This 29-nucleotide non-coding RNA is filed under the name Mus musculus (house mouse). The record is from RNAcentral. Lineage: Eukaryota; Metazoa; Chordata; Mammalia; Rodentia; Muridae.
CACAAAUGCAGAGCAUGAAUUCCCAUAGA